GUCUAUUUCCAUAGAAACCAGAGUGGAAAUGAGGGCAGCAGCCGUGAGUCAGCCUGACGGGUGGUUCAUCCCAGCCAAGGUCUGGGAGCACAGGGGCCGUUAUAGAAAUAAACGGAUUUAGAACCAGAAAAAAGCGAAAGCCUUAAUUGGGAAACACUGGUUUCUUUAUUGACUUGGUUAAAUAAUGGAAAGGUCCUGCAAGUAAUACAGACACAGACAGACAUUUCUUUGCUAAUUAGGUAACAGGGAAUCACAAGCCUAUCUGCACCAUGCCAACCAUGCUGACCACAGCGGGCGACCCAUCAGAGAUGAUUCAUGGAGAGCAGCCUGCCGUUGGCUCUUUGGACAUGUACAGCUUCAGGAAUAAGACCCGGUUUUCUGCCUUCUGCACUGAUGCUGCAGGGAAUAAGAUUUAAAAAAAAAAAAAUCUAGCCCUUCUGUGUCACAGUCAACCACAGGAAAUGGUCACUGGGUCUGAGUUCACUGCAGCCACCUGGGGAGGUCAGCCGCAGACCCACCCACCGGCCAUCUUCCUACUUGUACCUGACCAGAUUCAUUUCCUCAGGAGAGACCGCGCAGGAUGGAUCAUUGGCUUAAAAAGGGAGACCGGAGGCCCCACUUUCUCAACCCACAGCUGCACCAUUUAUAUGAAAAGAUGCCGAGAAAAAUACUUAUCAGGAAGUUCUCUGACUCAUGGAAGGGAAGGAUGUCUUCCAAAGAAGCUGGACAGACUUCAAAUAAAAAACGGAAUUACACGGAAGCUAUCUUUCCCUCAAUUUUGUAGAUGUCAACAGAUGCCUUAUUGUGUCUUAUGUAACAAAACAUAUUUGGAUAAUAUUAUAAUGACAGAUAAGUAUAAUUGAAGUAUCAUUUUGAGACAAAUCAUUGAGAGUUUAAAGAAAAUGGAUUUGAAUAUUUUAAACAUAGAUGUGAUGACUUCUUUAAAAGUCAAUAAUUGAAAAUUUGUUUUCAUUUUCAUUUUUUUUCAAACUAGAAAUUAAAAAGCCACCGAAGCUGUGUGAUGGGUAUAUGGGCACUCUGUAUUGUUUUUUUCUGUGCAUCUAAAACCACCCCCCACCCCCAAUUAUUUUCAAAAAGAAACAACAAAACCACUGAAGAACAAUGAAGGGUAAUUAUUGUCUUUGUUGAAGAAACAUACCCAAUAGCCUUGUAGAGCUUACACUGCUGAAUGGGCAGUUAACAAAAGAAAUUACAGUAUGCUACUUUCCAAUGAAACAGUAGCUCGUCGAAUCAAAGAUUAAGCUGCAAACAUGAA
Acinonyx jubatus (cheetah) is the source of this 1276-nucleotide long non-coding RNA. RefSeq lists it as uncharacterized. Lineage: Eukaryota; Metazoa; Chordata; Mammalia; Carnivora; Felidae. The record is from RefSeq and is a predicted model, not a curated record. The transcript has 3 exons.